AUUGAACGCUGGCGGCAUGCCUUACACAUGCAAGUCGAACGGUAACAGGUCUUCGGAUGCUGACGAGUGGCGAACGGGUGAGUAAUACAUCGGAACGUGCCUAGUAGUGGGGGAUAACUACUCGAAAGAGUGGCUAAUACCGCAUGAGAUCUACGGAUGAAAGCAGGGGAUCGCAAGACCUUGUGCUACUAGAGCGGCCGAUGGCAGAUUAGGUAGUUGGUGGGAUAAAAGCUUACCAAGCCGACGAUCUGUAGCUGGUCUGAGAGGACGAUCAGCAACACUGGGACUGAGACACGGCCCAGACUCCUACGGGAGGCAGAAGUGGGGAAUUUUGGACAAUGGGCGAAAGCCUGAUCUAGCAAUGCCGCGUGCAGGAUGAAGGCCUUCGGGUUGUAAACUGCUUUUGUACGGAACGAAAAGCCCCGGGUUAAUACCCUGGGGUCAUGACGGUACCGUAAGAAUAAGCACCGGCUAACUACGUGCCAGCCGCCGCAGUAA
RNAcentral lists this ribosomal RNA (498 nucleotides) under uncultured bacterium. RNAcentral's name for it is "partial 16S ribosomal RNA". It matches the Rfam family "Bacterial small subunit ribosomal RNA", at positions 30 to 523 of the family's 1533-position model. The record is from RNAcentral.